UUUCUCCUAGCACAAGUUUAUAUCAGAACGGAUGCCCACUGAUAGUUAACAACAAGAUAAACAUAACUAAAAAUAAAAACCUUAUCAAAAAAACUGUAACCCAACACAGGUGUGCUAUGAUUUAAAGGAAAGAUUAAAAGAAGUAAAAGGAACUCGGCAAACACAAACCCCGCCUGUUUACCAAAAACAUCACCUCUAGCAUUUAUAGUAUUAGAGGCACUGCCUGCCCAGUGACAUUAGUUAAACGGCCGCGGUAUCCUGACCGUGCAAAGGUAGCAUAAUCAUUUGUUCUCUAAUUAAGGACUUGUAUGAAUGGCCACACGAGGGUUUUACUGUCUCUUACUUCCAAUCAGUGAAAUUGACCUUCCCGUGAAGAGGCGGGAAUAAAAAAAUAAGACGAGAAGACCCUAUGGAGCUUUAAUUAACUAGCUUAAGUAAACAGCACAUUAACCCGCUUAAGGAAUAAAAAUCUUACCUAGUAAGCUAGCAAUUUCGGUUGGGGUGACCUCGGAGCAUAAAACAACCUCCGAGUGAUUUUAGAUGAGACCUACAAGUCGAAUCCUAAGUCAUAAUUGAUCCAAUAAUAAUAAUAAUUGAUCAACGGAACAAGUUACCCUAGGGAUAACAGCGCAAUCCUAUUUGAGAGUCCUUAUCGACAAUAGGGUUUACGACCUCGAUGUUGGAUCAGGACAUCCCAAUGGUGCAGCCGCUAUUAAUGGUUCGUUU
Molecule: ribosomal RNA, 726 nt
Filed under: Uropsilus sp. SSD-2006
Lineage: Eukaryota; Metazoa; Chordata; Mammalia; Eulipotyphla; Talpidae
Description: partial 16S ribosomal RNA
Rfam family: Bacterial large subunit ribosomal RNA
Source: RNAcentral